AACGAACGCUGGCGGCAGGCUUAACACAUGCAAGUCGAACGCAUGCCUUCGGGCAUGAGUGGCAGACGGGUGAGUAACGCGUGGGAACCUACCCCUUGGUACGGGAUAGCUCCGGGAAACUGGAGAUAAUACCGUAUGUGUCCUGAGGGACAAAGAUUCAUCGCCAAGGGAUGGGCCCGCGUCGGAUUAGCUAGUUGGUGGGGUAACGGCCUACCAAGGCGACGAUCCGUAGCUGGUCUAAGAGGAUGAUCAGCCACAUUGGGACUGAGACACGGCCCAAACUCCUACGGGAGGCAGCAGUGGGGAAUAUCGGACAAUGGGCGCAAGCCUGAUCCAGCCAUGCCGCGUGAGUGAUGAAGGCCCUAGGGUUGUAAAGCUCUUUCACCGGUGACGAUAAUGACGGUAACCGGAGAAGAAGCCCCGGCUAACUUCGUG
RNAcentral lists this ribosomal RNA (435 nucleotides) under uncultured bacterium. RNAcentral's name for it is "partial 16S ribosomal RNA". It matches the Rfam family "Bacterial small subunit ribosomal RNA", at positions 29 to 507 of the family's 1533-position model. The record is from RNAcentral.